Molecule: long non-coding RNA, 545 nt
Filed under: Homo sapiens (human)
Lineage: Eukaryota; Metazoa; Chordata; Mammalia; Primates; Hominidae
Description: HSALNT0097248
Source: RNAcentral
GAAAGAUCUCACCAGAAACCAACUGUGCUGGCACUUUAAUCGUGGACUUUGAGCCUCCAGAACUGUGAGAAAAUAAAUUUCUGUUGUUUAAGCCACCCAGACUGAAGCAUUCAGCUAUGGCAGCCCAAGCAGAUUGACACACAUGGGCGGUUUCUGCUGGUCUAGACAUCUGGGUUCCAAAAGAAGAAUGCAUCUCCCAGGAGACAUGACAAUGAUUCCAUUCAACAGGAAGUUGAGACUGCCACCUGAACACUUUGGGCUCCUCAUGCCUCUGAAUCAACGGGCAAAGAAGAGAGUUAUAGAUCCUAACCACCCAGGAGAAAUUCGGUGGCCACUACACAAACAGACUUUUCUGACUCUGCGGCCAGGUGUUUGUAUUUAACUCCACGGUGAGGAGACUCAUCUUCUGACGGACCUAACCUAUACCAUCAAGCUCCAGCACCACAAGCAAAGACAAAAACCUUGCGGAAACUAUUUAACUAACUCCCACAAUUGCAUAAGGAUCUAAAUGAAAAUAUUUCUGCAGUGAACCAGUUCUAUUGUUU